Molecule: ribosomal RNA, 247 nt
Filed under: uncultured crenarchaeote
Lineage: Archaea; Thermoproteati; Thermoproteota
Description: partial 16S ribosomal RNA
Rfam family: Archaeal small subunit ribosomal RNA
Source: RNAcentral
AGCACCUCAAGUGGUCAGGAUGAUUAUUGGGCCUAAAGCAUCCGUAGCUCGUUUUGUAAGUUUUCGGUUAAAUCCAUGCGCUUAACGUAUGGGCCGCCGGGAAUACUGCAUAACUAGGAAGUGGGAGAGGUAGACGGUACUCGGUAGGAAGGGGUAAAAUCCUUUGAUCUAUUGAUGACCACCUGUGGCGAAGGCGGUCUACCAGAACACGUUCGACGGUGAGGGAUGAAAGCUGGGGGAGCAAACC